UGCUAUCCCUCUGAGAAGCACACAUUACAUAAGGAACUAUGUAUGGGCACACCAGUCAAGUCUAAGCUGAACUCAGCUUUUAAGUCAUCCUAUGUUAGGUACCAUACAUGGGGGUGAAGAAAUGUUGUGCAGGUUUCAGUUCCCGGCUCUUAGCCAUGCUGUCCUGGGAGAAGACUGAGAUGGACUGGUAUUAGUGACUCGGGAACCCUGGACCACAGGCCUUGAAAGUAGAUUUUCUCAGGAAUGAGUAUACAAUGAAUUCUUCUCAAAAUAAGUUGUCCAAGAGUACCACAGCUGUGUUUCCACAUCAGCAGCUCUGCGGUCUGCCCAACAUCAUUUAAGGAAUAAGAGAGAGACUGUGUGUGCAAGUGAGGAGUGGAGCCAGACAAGGGGCUCAAUUCCACAACCCUGUGAUCAGGACCUCAGCUGAAAUCAAGAGCCAGAAGUUCAACCAACUGAGCCACCUAGGCUUUGCAUUUCUGUAAUGACUAAGGAUACUGAGCUUCU
Molecule: long non-coding RNA, 507 nt
Organism: Canis lupus familiaris (dog)
Lineage: Eukaryota; Metazoa; Chordata; Mammalia; Carnivora; Canidae
Exons: 3
Source: RefSeq, a predicted model, not a curated record